Molecule: non-coding RNA, 513 nt
Organism: Podarcis lilfordi (Lilford's wall lizard)
Lineage: Eukaryota; Metazoa; Chordata; Lepidosauria; Squamata; Lacertidae
Source: the annotation of a GenBank genome assembly
CCUAUUACAAAUAAGUUCCAUGUAGCUGUUAUAUACAGUACCGGUAUGUGCAUUUAUUAUAUCUUUGUAUGUUUCUUUGGAAUUUGUGUAGCUAUUAUAUUACAAAGUGUCUAUGUUUAUAUGAUUUAGAACUACGCACAGCUGAUGAAGCCCCUUCGGGCAAAACAGGGGUAUAUUCAGGAAUCCUUGUCUGGUUUGCCUGUGCCAGCAUCUACCAGUGCCAGUUUCUUUUGUCUACCAACUUUAUCAUCUUCAUUAGACACUUAGAAGAUUAUUUCAUGUCACUCUUCUAAGGAAUACGUCAGACAGAAAAAUACAAGAGAAGAUGAAGAAAUUAGAAAUGAAUGUAUUACGGCACUGACAAAUAGGAUUUGUAUUUUGUACAUACUAGAUUUGGUUGUCAGCCGAAUAAGCUACAUUUCAAUAUAUUAUGUCACGAUGUUGAUUUUGACGCUAUGAGAAGCGGUAUCUAAUUUUCGAGAAGUAGUUUCUAGUAAAUAACUUUGCAAUUGU